AUCACUUCUCAGCCUUUUGGUUAAGAUCAAGUGUAGUAUCUGUUCUCAUUGGCUUAAUAUCUGGUACAUUCUCUAUUUGAGGACAAUGUAUUAAAUGCAUUUUUAGAAUUAGGGGACAGAAUGGGGGCUUGCUCCGUUCACUCCAUGCAUAGACUUGGUAUUGCAGUACUUACAGGAAUGCUGCACCAGAA
Molecule: small nuclear RNA, 191 nt
Organism: Artibeus jamaicensis (Jamaican fruit-eating bat)
Lineage: Eukaryota; Metazoa; Chordata; Mammalia; Chiroptera; Phyllostomidae
Product: U2 spliceosomal RNA
Exons: 1
Source: RefSeq, a predicted model, not a curated record